Molecule: ribosomal RNA, 435 nt
Filed under: uncultured bacterium
Lineage: Bacteria
Description: partial 16S ribosomal RNA
Rfam family: Bacterial small subunit ribosomal RNA
Source: RNAcentral
AACGAACGCUGGCGGCAUGCCUAACACAUGCAAGUCGAACGAUUGCCUUCGGGUGAUAGUGGCGCACGGGUGCGUAACGCGUGGGAAUCUGCCCUUAGGUUCGGAAUAACAGCUGGAAACGGCUGCUAAUACCGGAUGAUAUCGCGAGAUCAAAGAUUUAUCGCCUGAGGAUGAGCCCGCGUUGGAUUAGGUAGUUGGUGGGGUAAAGGCCUACCAAGCCGACGAUCCAUAGCUGGUCUGAGAGGAUGAUCAGCCACACUGGGACUGAGACACGGCCCAGACUCCUACGGGAGGCAGCAGUGGGGAAUAUUGGACAAUGGGCGCAAACCUGAUCCAGCAAUGCCGCGUGAGUGAUGAAGGCCCUAGGGUUGUAAAGCUCUUUUACCCGGGAAGAUAAUGACUGUACCGGGAGAAUAAGCCCCGGCUAACUCCGUG